Molecule: ribosomal RNA, 410 nt
Filed under: uncultured bacterium
Lineage: Bacteria
Description: bacterial SSU rRNA
Rfam family: Bacterial small subunit ribosomal RNA
Source: RNAcentral
UCGAGAAUCUUCGGCAAUGGGCGCAAGCCUGACCGAGCGACGCCGCGUGGAGGAUGAAGGCCUUCGGGUUGUAAACUCCUGUCGAGGGGGAGGAAGGGGAGACCUUGACCGAUCCCUGGAGGAAGCACGGGCUAAGUUCGUGCCAGCAGCCGCGGUAAGACGAACCGUGCGAACGUUAUUCGGAAUCACUGGGCUUAAAGCGCGUGUAGGCGGAUGGGAACGUCGGCCACUGAAAGCCCCCGGCUCAACCGGGGAAGUGGUGCCGAAACGACCCGUCUGGAGGGACGUAGGGGGACCUGGAACUUCCGGUGGAGCGGUGAAAUGCGUUGAGAUCGGAAGGAACGCCCGUGGCGAAAGCGAGGUCCUGGACGUCAUCUGACGCUGAGACGCGAAAGCUAGGGGAGCGAACG